Molecule: ribosomal RNA, 400 nt
Filed under: uncultured bacterium
Lineage: Bacteria
Description: bacterial SSU rRNA
Rfam family: Bacterial small subunit ribosomal RNA
Source: RNAcentral
UUGGGAAUAUUGGACAAUGGGCGAAAGCCUGAUCCAGCAAUCCCGCGUGAGUGAAGAAGGCCUUCGGGUUGUAAAGCUCUUUUAUCAGGGAAGAAGGGAAACUUGACGGUACCUGAAGAAAAAGCACCGGCUAACUCCGUGCCAGCAGCCGCGGUAAUACGGAGGGUGCAAGCGUUGUUCGGAAUUAUUGGGCGUAAAGCGCGUGUAGGCGGUUGAUUAAGUCUGGUGUGAAAGCCCGGGGCCUAACCCCGGAAGUGCACUGGAUACUGAUCAGCUAGAGGACGAUAGGGGAGAGUGGAAUUCAUGGUGUAGGGGUGAAAUCCGUAGAUAUCAUGAGGAACAUCAGUGGCGAAGGCGGCUCUCUGGAUCGUUUCUGACGCUAAGACGCGAAAGCGUGGGG